RNAcentral lists this long non-coding RNA (2415 nucleotides) under Marmota monax (woodchuck). The record is from RNAcentral. Lineage: Eukaryota; Metazoa; Chordata; Mammalia; Rodentia; Sciuridae.
CUUACAUAUGUGAAAUUAGUCAUUAGAGUUCUAUAGUUCUUCUUUCUCAUUACUCUUCUUUAAAGAAAAUCAGCAGUCAUCUUAAUAGUGGUUCCUGAAAAAUCUUAAUAUUAAUAGGGGGAAUCUUUGGUGAAAUUUUGGAGGGGUGUGUGUGUGUGUGUUUUCUGUUUUCUUUAUUUUUAAGGUCUUAUAAAAUCACUGUGAAUUAGUAAUAAAUGUGUUUUGAUAUGGGGGGAGGAUUUACCCUUCCUUCCCAUAGAUAUUUACUCUAUCUUGUUUAUAGGCAAUAACAUUUUAACAAUUGGCUAGAAUUUUCUUAAUUUAUGUUGAAAUCACUUCAUUUUUCCUGAAUGUACCUGACAGUUUUGAUUAACAAGAUUAUAGAUGAGAAUAUAAAAUAAAACAAAAAUGGUUGUAAGCAUCCAAAUGAUGUUACAAAGUUCACCCCCUAAAACCAACAGACCGACCAAUUCGACACACUGAAGGUCAGGUGUCCUGCUUAUGUACUAACUCAGCUCCAUUUCCUGUUGCCUCAUACAAACUUUUGUUCACACAGCUAUUUGACUUCUAAAUCCUUAGUAGAUUAGAGACAAAUUAGAAGGAGAGUUUAGGUGGGUAGAGCAGCUGCUGAUAAUGUGGUGACAAGGGACAGAAAAGUGUAAGAAGAAAAUUCAAGAGAAAACUUUUAAACAUCCAGUUGAUCUAGGAAUUGCGCAUGGGAGCAAGCAAGUUCAGAGCCAGGACCCAGCUUAUCACUGUGGAACUGCAGAGACCAUAACUUAAUUUUAACAAUAGUUAAAACUCAGUAAUAAAGGAAAGGCAAGGAUACAACUAGAGUGUACUUUUUUAAGAAAGCAAAACAUGUUAUUUAAUACAAUUUCCAAGUGAAAUAAUAAAAAUAUUCUAGUCUUCAAGGGAUAAAGUUAUCAAGUUAUUGGAUGACUCAUCCCCAGAUGUUUCAGAACAACUUAUUUUUAUUGUAAUUUUUUAAGCUUUUGCUCACUUUUCUCAUCACUUGGAAACAGUUGCUUCUUUGCAAGUAUUAGGCCAACAUUAGGGCUAUUCCAUUAAUAGUUCUGCCAUAGACUCAUACCACACAGACAGUUAAAGACAAGAUUGUAACUGAAUUGUCCUAUUCUUGUUUUCCAUGGAUAUUCAUCCCAGUAUCCACUGUUGGCUAAUAAAUAUCUUGCAUUGUUUCUGUACAUCUAGUGCUGUUGCUGCCUUGUGGAACUUGCUGGUGUAUUCUUUAUGGCAAAGAGCAGAUCAUGGUUAAGAAUUAUCUGGUUGCAGAGCUUAAUCUUAAAAGUUAAAAUUGGGGGACCUAGCAUCUGGGAGUUGAAAACAAUACUGACUAACUGCUGACACAGAACCCCCGAAAUCUCUAUUAUUGCAGAAAACAAAUCAGAAACAAACUUAACAAAAUCCAGUUGGUUGUCAAUGAACCUUUAUUUAUUUAUAUGUGGUGCUGAGAAUUGAAGCCAGUGUCUUACACAUGGGAGGCAUUCACUCUACCACUGAGCUACAACCCCAACCCCAGUUGGGGUUAUUCUUGACCGGUUUAAGUGCCCUUCUUCCUACCCUUGUUCCUUAAGUUUUUCUUCUGUGAAAGUUUCACUUUUGCUAAUGCCAAUCCCCUUUUACCCUUCCCUCUCAAAAUUUCCAUUUCCCUAAUAAGUCUGGAGGUUGUUCUGCUUACUCGUCGCCUCCCACAGCUCCUUGGCCAUGGUCCAGGGCUGGUGGGUGGAGCGCUGUUUGCCAGGGACUGUCUGGGUCAGAAGUGGCUGAGCUGAUGCUCAGCUGGAGAGACAGACACCCAGUCUCCAGCUGCAUGGCUAAGAGAUAAAGGCCUCUUUCAGCGCCCCCUCUCUUCCUCCUCCUAGAUGGAUAAGGGAUCACAGCAGUUUCUUUCUCCAUUUCUGUUCUUUGCCCACCCAUCACAGUCCGCUGUCCCCUUCUCUGUACUGUCAGCUUUCCAGAUGGAGUACAGGGACAGAGAAUUGGGGAGACCCAUCAUUUGUGCCUGGAAACUACACAGGACCUAAAUAUAAAAAGGAAGUGUCCCAUCCAAGCCAAAAUGUCCUCAGUGUCCUCUUGUCAAAGUGUCAAUUUCCACUGAAUUUCUGUAGACAGAUUGUCAUUCCAUUGCUCUUGGAGACAAGGUCAGCAAUCCCUCAGUUAUUGCUGAGGAGGCUCUUUCUCUUCAGCAGACUGAUUUUUUUGUUUUCCACACUGUUCCCCUUGUUCCAAUUUCUAUUUUUCUUUCCCCUUUCGCCGCCUGCUCUCUGCUGUACCAACUCAGCCUCCUGCACUCCCGGGGCACUUUCCCAGCCCCUCUGCACCCUUUCCCAUUGGCCCGCACCUGCCGCACGCCCCUCCCACCGCCACCCAUCCCCCUCCCCAUCUCAGUCUUUU